AGCGUAUAUUAAAGUUGUUGCAGUUAAAAAGCUCGUAGUUGAAUUUCGGGAUCAGUACGUUGGUCGUGCCUUAGGUACGUACUGGUGUUACUGGUUUCUACCUUCUGACGAACCAUCAUGUCAUUAAUUUGGUGUGGCGGGGAAUCAGGACUGUUACUUUGAAAAAAUUAGAGUGUUUAAAGCAGGCUCGCGCUUGAAUACAUUAGCAUGGAAUAAUGAAAUAGGACGUUGAUCCUAUUUUGUUGGUUUCUAGGAUUGACGUAAUGAUUAAUAGGGAUAGUUGGGGGCAUUAGUAUUCAAUUGUCAGAGGUGAAAUUCUUGGAUUUAUUGAAGACUAACUACUGCGAAAGCAUUUGCCAAGGAUGUUUUCAUUAAUCAAGAACGAAAGUUAGGGGAUCGAAGACGAUCAGAUACCGUCGUAGUCUUAACCAUAAAC
Molecule: ribosomal RNA, 436 nt
Filed under: uncultured Glomeromycotina
Lineage: Eukaryota; Fungi; Glomeromycota
Description: SSU rRNA
Rfam family: Eukaryotic small subunit ribosomal RNA
Source: RNAcentral